UCGAGAAUAAUUCGCAAUGGACGAAAGUCUGACGAUGCGACGCCGCGUGAACGAUGAAGGCUUUCGGGUUGUAAAGUUCUGUCGCCUUGGAGCAAGAGUAGGAGGGUAAUAUCCUCUUACAAUGAGAGUACAAGGAAAGGAAGCACCGGCUAAUUCCGUGCCAGCAGCUGCGGUAAUACGGAAGGUGCAAGCGUUAGUCGGAAUUAUUGGGCGUAAAGGGUGCGUAGGCGGCGUUUUAAGUUGGAUGUGAAAUUCUGUGGGCUCAACCCCAGACCUAUAUCCAAAACUGGAAUGCUCGAGGAACGGCGGAGAAAACGGAAUUCCAUGUGUAGCGGUGAAAUGCGUAGAUAUAUGGAAGAACACCUGUGGCGAAAGCGGUUUUCUAGCUUAAUCCUGACGCUAAGGCACGAAAGCAAGGGGAGCAAACAGG
This 430-nucleotide ribosomal RNA is filed under the name uncultured bacterium. RNAcentral describes it as "bacterial SSU rRNA". It matches the Rfam family "Bacterial small subunit ribosomal RNA", at positions 355 to 776 of the family's 1533-position model. The record is from RNAcentral.